GUGGUUUAAUUCGAAGCAACGCGCAGAACCUUACCAACCCUUGACAUCCCUAUCGCGAUUACCAGAGAUGGUUUUCAUCAGUUCGGCUGGAUAGGUGACAGGUGCUGCAUGGCUGUCGUCAGCUCGUGUCGUGAGAUGUCGGGUUAAGUCCCUUAACGAGCGAAACCCUUAUCUCUAGUUGCCAGCGAGUAAUGUCGGGGACUCUAGAGAGACCGCCGGUGUCAAACCGGAGGAAGGUGGGGAUGACGUCAGGUCAUCAUGGCCCUUACGGCCAGGGCUACACACGUGCUACAAUGGUGCGUACAGAGGGCUGCAAACCCGCGAGGGGGAGCUAAUCUCACAAAACGCAUCGUAGUCCGGAUCGGAGUCUGCAACUCGACUCCGUGAAGUCGGAAUCGCUAGUAAUCGCGGAUCAGAAUGCCGCGGUGAAUACGUUCCCGGGCCUUGUACACACCGCCCGUCACACCAUGGGAGUGGAUUGCACCAGAAGUGGUUAGUCUAACCGUAAGGGGGACGAUCACCACGGUGUGGUUCAUGACUGGGGUGAAGUCGAAACAAGGUAGCCCUAGGGGAACCUGCGGCUGGAUCACCUCCUU
RNAcentral lists this ribosomal RNA (596 nucleotides) under Pseudo-nitzschia fraudulenta. RNAcentral describes it as "partial Bacterial small subunit ribosomal RNA". It matches the Rfam family "Bacterial small subunit ribosomal RNA", at positions 941 to 1532 of the family's 1533-position model. Lineage: Eukaryota; Bacillariophyta; Bacillariophyceae; Bacillariales; Bacillariaceae. The record is from RNAcentral.